This 466-nucleotide ribosomal RNA is filed under the name uncultured bacterium. Its description in RNAcentral is "partial 16S ribosomal RNA". It matches the Rfam family "Bacterial small subunit ribosomal RNA", at positions 28 to 507 of the family's 1533-position model. The record is from RNAcentral.
GAUGAACGCUGGCGGCGUGCUUAACACAUGCAAGUCGAACGGAAAGGCUCCUGCUUGCAGGGGUACUCGAGUGGCGAACGGGUGAGUAACACGUGGGUGAUCUGCCCUGCACUUCGGGAUAAGCCUGGGAAACUGGGUCUAAUAUCGGAUAGGACCAUCGUUUAGUGUCGGUGGUGGAAAGUUUUUUCGGUGUGGGAUGAGCUCGCGGCCUAUCAGCUUGUUGGUGGGGUAUUGGCCUACCAAGGCGUCGACGGGUAGCCGGCCUGUGAGGGUGUACGGCCACAUUGGGACUGAGGUACGGCCCAGACUCCUACGGGAGGCAGCAGUGGGGAAUAUUGCACAAUGGGCGCAAGCCUGAUGCAGCGGCGCCGCGUGGGGGAUGACGGCCUUCGGGUUAUAAACACCUUUCGCCGGAGACGAAGCGAAAGUGACGGUACCUGAAUAAGAAGCACCGGCUAACUACGUG